UACGGCUCAGUAACACGUGGACAACCUGCCCAAAGGUCCGGGAUAACCCCGGGAAACUGGGGAUAAUACCGGAUAAAUCACAAAUACUGGAAUGGUUUUGUGGUUGAAACUUCCGGGGCCUUUGGAUGGGUCUGCGGCUGAUUAGGUUGUUGCCGGUGUAACGUACCGUCAAGCCUGUAAUCAGUACGGGUUGUGGGAGCAAGAGCCCGGAGAUGGAUUCUGAGACACGAAUCCAGGCCCUACGGGGCGCAGCAGGCGCGAAAACUCUACAAUGCAGGCAACUGCGAUAGGGGAACAUCGAGUGAUACUCAUUUUGGGUGUCUGUCCUCCCGUCUAAAAAACGGGAGUUAGCAAGGGCCGGGCAAGACCGGUGCCAGCCGCCGCGGUAAUACCGGCGGCUCGAGUGGUGGCCGAUAUUAUUGAGUCUAAAGGGUCCGUAGCCGGCUUUGCAAGUCUUUUGGGAAAUCCAGCGGCUUAACCGUUGGUCGUCCGGGAGAUACUACAUUGCUUGGGACUGGGAGAGGUAGGAGGUACUCAGGGGGUAGGAGUGAAAUCCUGUAAUCCUUUGGGGACCACCGGUGGCGAAGGCGUCCUACCAGAACAGGUCCGACGGUGAGGGACGAAAGCUAGGGGCACGAACCGGAUUAGAUACCCGGGUAGUCCUAGCCGUAAACGAUGCUCGCUAGGUGUCACAACAAUCGUGAAUUGUUGUGGUGCCGUAGGGAAGCCGUGAAGCGAGCCACUUGGGAAGUACGACCGCAAGGUUGAAACUUAAAGGAAUUGGCGGGGGAGCACCACAACGGGUGGAGCCUGCGGGUUUAAUUGGACUCAACGCCCGGACAGCUUACCGGGAUCGACAGUUGUAUGAAGGCCAGGCUGAAGACCUUGCCGGACUAGCUGAGAGGAGGUGCAUGGCCGCCGUCAGUUCGUACCGUGAGGCGUCCUGUUAAGUCAGCACGAGCGAGACCAUAUCCACUGUGCUUACAUGCCGCGAGGGAUGGUGAGUACACGGGUGGGAGACCGCUGGCGCUAAGUCUAG
RNAcentral lists this ribosomal RNA (1039 nucleotides) under uncultured archaeon. RNAcentral's name for it is "bacterial SSU rRNA". It matches the Rfam family "Archaeal small subunit ribosomal RNA", at positions 84 to 1122 of the family's 1478-position model. The record is from RNAcentral.